RNAcentral lists this ribosomal RNA (468 nucleotides) under uncultured bacterium. Its description in RNAcentral is "partial 16S ribosomal RNA". It matches the Rfam family "Bacterial small subunit ribosomal RNA", at positions 28 to 507 of the family's 1533-position model. The record is from RNAcentral.
GACGAACGCUGGCGGCGUGCUUAACACACGCAAGUCGAACGGAAAGGCCCUGCUUUUGUGGGGUGCUCGAGUGGCGAACGGGUGAGUAACACGUGAGUAACCUGCCCUUGACUUUGGGAUAACUUCAGGAAACUGGGGCUAAUACCGGAUAGGAGCUCCUGCUGCAUGGUGGGGGUUGGAAAGUUUCGGCGGUUGGGGAUGGACUCGCGGCUUAUCAGCUUGUUGGUGGGGUAGUGGCUUACCAAGGCUUUGACGGGUAGCCGGCCUGAGAGGGUGACCGGCCUCAUUGGGACUGAGAUACGGCCCAGACUCCUACGGGAGGCAGCAGUGGGGAAUAUUGCACAAUGGGCGGAAGCCUGAUGCAGCAACGCCGCGUGCGGGAUGACGGCCUUCGGGUUGUAAACCGCUUUCGCCUGUGACGAAGCGUGAGUGACGGUAAUGGGUAAAGAAGCACCGGCUAACUACGUG